This 330-nucleotide ribosomal RNA is filed under the name Triticum aestivum (bread wheat). RNAcentral's name for it is "partial small subunit ribosomal RNA". The record is from RNAcentral. Lineage: Eukaryota; Viridiplantae; Streptophyta; Magnoliopsida; Poales; Poaceae.
GUGAACAUGAUCCACACGACUCGUACAUCCAUGAGAAGGCACGAACUCGUGCAUAGAGACACACGCGAUAUAGAGCCCAUCGUACCCACACCUAACUACUGGAUGUCUUAUCCGAUCAGCUUCGAUCACUUGGACGGCCGAACUAGUAUUCGGUGGAAAGGAUCAGAGGCCUUGGUGCUUAACCCAAUAAUCGACGGAUACCAUCUCACCCAUGUCCUCAUGGACGGCGGCAACAGUCUCAAUCUAAUAUAUGAGGACACUGUCCGCAGGAUGGGGAUAGACCCAUCCAGAAUUAGUCAAAGCAACACCACCUUUGAAGGGGUGAUACCA